GCCAGUGCAGAUGUGCGUGCCAUUUUCAGAGCCUGAAGACCUACCUUCAAGAGGCCCUGGCACUCCUGAAACCCAAGUCUGGCAGAGAGGAAGCCUCGAUACAGCUCUCCUGGUUGCCAAGAACUGCUCUGAUUCCCUGGCAGAGGGAAAUCGUGGCUCUCCAGACAUCAGAGCUCUGAGUGAGGGCUUCAGCAUCACACAGAAGACAGCAAAGCCCUGCUCGCCUCCAGGGGGUUGUGAUGUAUUCUGGUGUUACCUGCUGGAAAGUGGGAGAGCUGAGAGCACAUCUCACCAGCAGGCCACGUGCUGACAGAUGGCGUACAGACCUCAGCAGAUGUCCAUAGCACCGGCUUGGAUCUCUUGUGAAAGCACCUCCAGUUGCACGAGGACUGGUGGUGAGUUCAAGUGCAAGCCGGAGCACACCAGAAAGGGCACCAGGCUGCGGCUGUUCCAAUGCUCCCAACAAGAAGCACCACCUCCCUUUGACAGCCACUAGAACCAUGCACAGAGCUACAAGGACCGCACACUCGUUUUUGCACCGAUGAAGCGUUCGGCAAAAACCUCCUCAAGUAACACUUCCUCUAGAUGUAAGCAUCUCUGAAGUACAAAGUCAUUCCCUCAGCCAUCACUGAAGAGCAGAUGGACAGAAAAAAGCACGUGCAAUAGAGAUGGUGACUGCUAAGGGGUCCGGAUCACGGCCGUGGUGCUGACAGACGAGAGGGGACAAGAAGAUGAUUCCACCUCUGAGCUCAACACCGGAGAGCUACGUCACGUCCCGCCCCGCACAGCCCCGUCAGACCAAGCCUCUGCCCUCUGAGCAGCGUGAUGUACUCGGGCACCACAAGGAGGUUGCAUCAUUACGUGCUGAAGCAAUGUGGAAAGCAACAGCCCCAGAAGCGAGCAGCAGCUUCUCUCCCCACGCGCCCUCCCGAGUCUCGUAUGGGGGUGUGUCAGCAGAUGAAUCAGGCCUACUUACAAAGAAUUACAGCAAACAAUGGCUUCAUGGGUAAAGCGUAACACAAAGCUGCUUCGUCAAACUGACUCCAUAAUGCCCAGCCAGGGAAAUGUUUAAUGAAUCUGUGAGUUUUACAGCAGUAAGUUCUGGCAAUGCUGAAGAUCGCUGUAAGGCACGGGGUGCAGGAGCCAGGGAAGUCUUUUCUGGCAAGUUACCUGUUGCUCUGAGAGCUGAAAUAGCCUGUGGGACAUUUAAGAAAAGGGAGCUCUUGCCUUUUUCCAGAUAUCUCAUUUGGGUUGCAAGACAAAAAAGACAGAAAGGCCCAAUAAGAAUGACACCCCAGAGUGCGCGGUCUGCAAUUUAACACACACAUUUGAGCUCCAAACACAUUCAGCCCCUGCAAGAGGGAAAUGAAAAAAGAAAUUACUUUGGAAACGUCUCUCUUAGGUACCGCAUAGCACCUGCACAGCUGUAUAGCAGAGUGCUGCAUAGCCCAGUGUAUUUUCUCUUAAACUUGAGCAAAUGGGACUUAUCAAUUCCUUAUAACGUUCCACCAUUCUCGAUAUUAUCAAGAAGAAAUCAGGCACUUAAAUGCAAUUGCAUGUGUUAAAAGAACAGAAUAAAAUAAACUAGAAGUCCUGGCUGUAGUGGAGUAGGAAAAGGUUUGUCACUGAAAUGCCAAGAAAGGGAAGGUUAUGCAGAGAACAACAAAUACAGCAAAUGUCGUUUUCUCAGGCACAAAACAAAGUUAUACUUACCAGAGGAGCUGAGUUCAGGCACUGUGUGCACACUCCCCAAACUGGAGAGCAGCAUUUAAUCAAACAAUAAGAGAUGAGGUAGAAGGAAGGAGAAUCUCCUUCUAAAUGAAAGAGGCCACCAGUGAAUAUUUUCUGCUCAUCAUAGGUGGCAACAGCUGGGCCUGUUCUGUCCUAGAGAGGACAGAAGUUUUGCUGCAGGCACAAAGAGAGCAGCCAGCAUAAAGAGACCUCGGGAUCUGCUGCUGAUCCCAGCCCAGAGGAGAGGGCACAGCUCAGGCAGACACAUCUGUGUUCAUGUUCUGCACCUCCCAACAGAGGUCUCCUUCAUGCAGAGGAUGACUCCACCAGGCCAGCUGACGCUGCAUUCCCUGGGAUGAAAGCUAUGACUUAAAGGCAAUAAUCACCAGACCCUUUUCGUCUGUAAAGUUCUUUAACUUCUACACUAAAUUUAGUCUCACUUGAGUUGGACAAAAGAAGCCUCUCCCCGUCUCAUUUCACUGAUCCUGGUGUAAUGCAACCCAAAUCAACCCAGGAAAAUGAACGAAAAAAUUCAUCUCAGACUGAAACACGGACACAAACACUGUGACCAUUUAUCUGCAUAGGCAGACUGCAGGAGCAGAGUCAGAGUACAGAACGCCUCCACUGUGUGUGACAGACAUUCCUUCCCAAGUGUGGACAUGUCAGCCUGUGCCUGUCAGAGAGCCCAAAAAGCUUUUCAUGUGUGCGUGCAGAGGCAGCAGAUGGACACACACUGCUAUACAAACUCAAGGCAGCAAAGAAUUAUUUGCCCUAACAGAGUUUUUUUUGGCAGAACAGCAUCUGAUACACUUCAUGAGAGAUAUUUUGUAGGUAUCUUAUAGUUAACCUUUUCCAGGCAAUGAAAGAAAGCACACUUAAGCCAAAUAAAAAGAUCACACGAAGGCAAAGCCAAAUGCUCUUUAGUAAGGAAAGCAUCACUUAUGCACCCAGAACAACUUUUGCUGAGAUAUACUAAGGUUGUCACAGCCUACCCCCCUCACAUACUGCCCAUUCCUCACCACGGAACACGUUAAUUCUGCAUGACUGAUACACUUUUCCUGAUUUGUGCUUCUUUGGUGAUGGGCUUUAGGUGCAAAUCCAAAUGGCUGCACCAUUGGCUGUAAUAAUGUACAGAAUGACAAAUUGCUGCCUCAAAAAUAAAACACUGAGCUACCAGGAAAGGGAGGACAUUACCAACACCA
Gallus gallus (chicken) is the source of this 2933-nucleotide long non-coding RNA. RefSeq lists it as uncharacterized. Lineage: Eukaryota; Metazoa; Chordata; Aves; Galliformes; Phasianidae. The transcript is spliced from 3 exons. The record is from RefSeq and is a predicted model, not a curated record.